This 253-nucleotide ribosomal RNA is filed under the name uncultured bacterium. RNAcentral describes it as "partial 16S ribosomal RNA". It matches the Rfam family "Bacterial small subunit ribosomal RNA", at positions 524 to 776 of the family's 1533-position model. The record is from RNAcentral.
UACGGAGGGUGCAAGCGUUAUCCGGAUUCACUGGGUUUAAAGGGUGCGUAGGUGGGUUGGUAAGUCAGUGGUGAAAUCUUCGAGCUUAACUCGGAAACUGCCAUUGAUACUAUCUGUCUUGAAUAUUUUGGAGGUAAGCGGAAUAUGUCAUGUAGCGGUGAAAUGCUUAGAUAUGACAUAGAACACCAAUUGCGAAGGCAGCUUACUACACAGUCAUUGACACUGAGGCACGAAAGCGUGGGGAGCAAACAGG